This 252-nucleotide ribosomal RNA is filed under the name uncultured Bacteroidales bacterium. RNAcentral describes it as "partial 16S ribosomal RNA". It matches the Rfam family "Bacterial small subunit ribosomal RNA", at positions 524 to 776 of the family's 1533-position model. The record is from RNAcentral. Lineage: Bacteria; Pseudomonadati; Bacteroidota; Bacteroidia; Bacteroidales.
UACGGAGGAUGCGAGCGUUAUCCGGAUUUAUUGGGUUUAAAGGGUGCGUAGGCGGCGAGUUAAGUCAGCGGUAAAAGCCCGGGGCUCAACCCCGGCCCGCCGUUGAAACUGGCGUUCUUGAGUGGAAGAGAAGUAUGCGGAAUGCGUGGUGUAGCGGUGAAAUGCAUAGAUAUCACGCAGAACCCCGAUUGCGAAGGCAGCAUACCGGCGCCCGACUGACGCUGAGGCACGAAAGUGCGGGUAUCGAACAGG